RNAcentral lists this ribosomal RNA (405 nucleotides) under uncultured bacterium. RNAcentral describes it as "bacterial SSU rRNA". It matches the Rfam family "Bacterial small subunit ribosomal RNA", at positions 350 to 750 of the family's 1533-position model. The record is from RNAcentral.
AGCAGUGGGGAAUAUUGGACAAUGGGCGAAAGCCUGAUCCAGCCAUGCCGCGUGUGUGAAGAAGGCCUUCGGGUUGUAAAGCACUUUAAGCGAGGAGGAAGGGUAUCAACUUAAUACGUUGGUAUUUUGACGUUACUCGCAGAAUAAGCACCGGCUAACUCUGUGCCAGCAGCCGCGGUAAUACAGAGGGUGCAAGCGUUAAUCGGAAUUACUGGGCGUAAAGCGCGCGUAGGCGGUUGUGUAAGUUGGAUGUGAAAUCCCCGGGCUUAACCUGGGAAUGGCAUUCAAAACUGCACGGCUAGAGUAUGGGAGAGGAAAGGUAGAAUUCCAGUGUAGCGGUGAAAUGCGUAGAUAUCUGGAGGAAUACCGAUGGCGAAGCAGCCUUGGCCUAAUACUGACGCUGAG